RNAcentral lists this ribosomal RNA (474 nucleotides) under uncultured cyanobacterium. Its description in RNAcentral is "bacterial SSU rRNA". It matches the Rfam family "Bacterial small subunit ribosomal RNA", at positions 387 to 858 of the family's 1533-position model. Lineage: Bacteria; Bacillati; Cyanobacteriota. The record is from RNAcentral.
CCUGGGGCCGCCGCGUGAGGGAGGAGGCCUUCGGGUUGUAAACCUCUUUUCUCAAGGAAGAAGUACUGACGGUACUUGAGGAAUAAGCCUCGGCUAACUCCGUGCCAGCAGCCGCGGUAAGACGGAGGAGGCAAGCGUUAUCCGGAAUUAUUGGGCGUAAAGCGUCCGUAGGUGGUUAUUCAAGUCUUUUGUUAAAUAGUGGAGCUUAACUCCAUAGAGGCGGAAGAAACUGAGUAACUUGAGUGCGGUAGGGGUAGAGGGAAUUCCAGGUGUAGCGGUGAAAUGCGUAGAUAUCUGGAAGAACACCAGUGGCGAAGGCGCUCUACUGGGCCGUAACUGACACUGAGGGACGAAAGCUAGGGGAGCGAAAGGGAUUAGAUACCCCCUGUAGUCCAAGGGGAUUGGGUCCCCUGGUAGCAAUGCGGGCUGUGGCCAAUAGGGGAUUAGGGUAGUAUGGGUCGUGGGGUGGUGGUC